UACUCCUACGGGAGGCAGCAGUGGGGAAUCUUCCGCAAUGGACGAAAGUCUGACGGAGCAACGCCGCGUGAGUGAUGACGGCCUUCGGGUUGUAAAGCUCUGUUAAUCGGGACGAAAGGCCUUCUUGCGAAUAGUGAGAAGGAUUGACGGUACCGGAAUAGAAAGCCACGGCUAACUACGUGCCAGCAGCCGCGGUAAUACGUAGGUGGCAAGCGUUGUCCGGAAUUAUUGGGCGUAAAGCGCGCGCAGGCGGAUAGGUCAGUCUGUCUUAAAAGUUCGGGGCUUAACCCCGUGAUGGGAUGGAAACUGCCAAUCUAGAGUAUCGGAGAGGAAAGUGGAAUUCCUAGUGUAGCGGUGAAAUGCGUAGAUAUUAGGAAGAACACCAGUGGCGAAGGCGACUUUCUGGACGAAAACUGACGCUGAGGCGCGAAAGCCAGGGGAGCGAACGGGAUUAGAUACCCCGGUAGUCCUGGCCGUAAACGAUGGGUACUAGGUGUAGGAGGUAUCGACCCCUUCUGUGCCGGAGUUAACGCAAUAAGUACCCCGCCUGGGGAGUACGACCGCAAGGUUGAAACUCAAAGGAAUUGACGG
RNAcentral lists this ribosomal RNA (591 nucleotides) under uncultured bacterium. RNAcentral describes it as "bacterial SSU rRNA". It matches the Rfam family "Bacterial small subunit ribosomal RNA", at positions 334 to 916 of the family's 1533-position model. The record is from RNAcentral.